Molecule: ribosomal RNA, 209 nt
Filed under: uncultured bacterium
Lineage: Bacteria
Description: partial 16S ribosomal RNA
Rfam family: Bacterial small subunit ribosomal RNA
Source: RNAcentral
UCGGAUUGUAGUCUGCAACUCGACUACAUGAAGCUGGAAUCGCUAGUAAUCGCGAAUCAGAAUGUCGCGGUGAAUACGUUCCCGGGUCUUGUACACACCGCCCGUCACACCAUGGGAGUCGGAAAUGCCCGAAGCCGGUGACCUAACCUUUCAGGAAGGAGCCGUCGAAGGCAGGUCUGAUAACUGGGGUGAAGUCGUAACAAGGUAGC